This is a ribosomal RNA of Neurospora crassa OR74A, 1796 nucleotides long. It matches the Rfam family "Eukaryotic small subunit ribosomal RNA". The record is from Rfam. Lineage: Eukaryota; Fungi; Ascomycota; Sordariomycetes; Sordariales; Sordariaceae.
UACUUAAUUAAUUCUAUUAGUAGUUAUAUGUUUAUUUUAAAGAUUAAGCUAUAUAUAUUUAAAUUUAAGUAAUUAAAUUAUAAAAUUACGAAUAGCUUAUUAAAUUAAUUAUAGUUUAUUUAAUAGUACUUUACUAUAUAGAUAACCGUAGUAAUUCUAAAACUAAUAUAUAUUAAAAACCCUAAUUUCGGAAGGGGUAUAUUUAUUAAAUUAAAAACUAAUACCCUUCGGGGUUAACUAGUAAUUUAUAAUAACUUUUCGAAUCGUAUAGCCUUAUGUUGGUAAUAGUUUAUUUAAAUUUCUACCCUAUUAAUUUUCAACGGCUAGGUCUUAGCUAACUAUAGUAAUAAUAGGUAAUAGAGGGUUAAAGUUCGACCCUAGAGAAAGAGUUUAAGAAACGGCUAUUAUAUCUAAGGAAGGUAGUAGGCGUGCAAAUUACCUAAUUCCGAUAUAGGGAGGUAAUAAUAAUAAAUAUUAAUAUAAAGCUCUUUUAGGUCUUAUAAUUAGAAUAAAUAUAAUUUAAAUCCUUUAACGAGGAAUAAUUGGAGGGCAAGUCUAAUACUAAUAGUUACGGUAAUUCUAACUCUAAUAGUAUAUAUUAAAAUUAUUAAAGUUAAAAAACUCGUAAUUAAACCUUAAGCUCGGCCUAUUAGUCUAUCUUACCGCAUAUAUUAAUUAGGUUGGGCUUUUUUUCUUAGAGAACCAUAUACCCUUUAUUAAGUAUAUUGGGGAAUUAGGACUUUUAUUAUAAAUAAAUCAGAUUAUUCAAAGAAAGCCUAUAUUCGAAUAUAUUAAUAUAGAAUAAUAGAAUAGGACGUAUAGUUUUAUUUUAUUAAUUUCUAGGACUACUAUAAUAAUUAAUAGGGAUAGUCGGGGGUAUUAAUAUUUAAUUAUUAGAAGUAAAAUUCUUAAAUUUAUUAAAAAUUAAUUACUAUAAAAGUAUUUAUUAAGGAUAUUUUUAUUAAUUAGGAACGAAAGUUAGGGGAUUGAAGACAAUUAGAUACUAUUAUAAUUUUAAUUAUAAAUUAUACUAAUUAAGGAUUGGACGGUAUUAUUUUUUAACCUAUUUGGCACUUUAUAAUAAAUUAAAAUAUUUAGGCUUCUAGGGGAGUAUAGUCGUAAGGUUAAAAUUUAAAGAAAUUAAUAGAAGGGCACUACUAGGGGUAGAACCUACGGUUUAAUUUAAUUUAAUAUAGGGAAAUUUACUAGGUUUAAAUAUAAUGAGGAUUAAUAAAUUGAAAGCUCUUUCUUAAUUUCGUAGGUAGUAGUGUAUGGCCAUUUUUAAUUAGUAGAGUAAUUUAUUUAUUUAAUUACAAUAACGAACGAGACUUUAACCUAUUAAAUAGCCUAUAUUACUUUAGUAGUACGCUAACUUCUUAGAGGAACUAUUAGUUUAAACUAAUAGAAAUUUAAGGCAAUAAUAGGUCUAUAAUACCUUUAAAUAUUUUAAGCUAUACGCGCGCUAUAUUAAUAUAGUUAGUAAGUACUCCCUUAACCGGAAGGUCCGGGUAAUCUUAUUAAAUUAUAUUAUAUUAAGAAUAGAGUAUUAUAAUUAUUACUCUUCAACAAAGAAUCUCUAAUAAACGUAAAUUAUUAAUUUAUAUUAAUUACGUCCCUACCCUUUAUAUAUACCGCCCAUCGCUACUACUAAUUAAAUAAUUUAAUAAAACUUCCAAAUUAACUUAAGGAAGUCGGUAACGACUACCUAAGAUUAGAAAACUAUUUAAAUUCAAUUAUUUAAAAGAAAUAAAAGUCGUAAUAAAAUCUCUAUUAAUAAACUAAUAAAAGGAUUAUUA